GUAAAGCCCAGCACAGUGUCUGGCAUCUGGUAAGCUCCCAUCAUGUCAGCUGUUGGCGUAGGUGGUGUUGGUGAGAUGCGGGGCCUGGAAUUCACUGGACGCUCUGGUGCAGAGUCUGAACAGAACAGUCACCUAAAAUGCCAGCCACUGCUGUCAGAGUGUCGGGAGGAGC
RNAcentral lists this long non-coding RNA (172 nucleotides) under Cercocebus atys (sooty mangabey). Its description in RNAcentral is "lncRNA (ENSCATG00000045778.1)". The record is from RNAcentral. Lineage: Eukaryota; Metazoa; Chordata; Mammalia; Primates; Cercopithecidae.